UCCAACUGAUUUCCUUGUACAGUGAGUGGUUUGAGUGUUGGAAAGCAGGGUUUGAAUCUAGCUCAGCCAUAGAAACCCACCGGAUGAUCUCAGACAAACCAUACUUUUUCAGUCUGAGAGGAAAGCAAUGGUAAUCCUCUCUUGAAUAAAACUCACCAAGAAAACCCAAUGAUAGUGUUGCCAUAAGUCAGAGGUAACUUGAAGGCACACAACAACAUCAACAACAACAUGAUGUGAAGGGGCAAGUCUGGGCUCUGUACAAACAUGCUGGAUGGAUAUGCUAGAUGUGUCUCUGAUUCCCUAUGAUGAGAGAAAUCAACUGCAGAGUUUCUGUUUCUGCUUGCCAACUCUUGUACCAUGUGUGUGGGAAGCCUAGUUAAACCAACUUAAGCAAUAAUGUUAAGCAACAUAGGAAUUUUUUUGUUUCAAACAACACUGUUACUUUUAAUUCUAUAUUUUCAUUUUUGGUUUUGUUGCUUAGUGCUCAGCUAAAUGGCACUAAGUUGUUCUGGUGGCCCUCCAUUUUUUUUACAGCAUCCGAGAGCAAUGUUGUAUGACAGCACUGAGUACAAUGGGAAGCUUUUGGUGGGAGCAAAUAAAAAAGGAUGGAGUUACCUGACUUAAAAAUGCAAGGAAAACACUAGUGGUUGGUGACUGUCUGCAUUAAUGAUGAACAUAAGCAGUGCCCUAUCUAGUCCAGCACGGAUUAAUACAGUGGCCAACCAAAUGGCUAUGGAAAACCCACUAGCAGGCCAUGAGCACAACCGCACCCUCCCACUCAUGUUCCCCAGUAAGUAGUAAGAGAUACUAGAGGUAAGCCAUAGCCUUCAUGACUAAAAGUCAAUAUUAUCUUUAUCCUCCCAAAGGAUAUAUCAGAUUCUUUCAGAAUACAAAUAUCACAUAUUUGAGGGUAUGUUGUAAUAGGUAAUUAAUUUUGGUUGCUAUCCUACUUUGGCUAAGUACAGUCGGCCCUUCUUAUACACGGAUUUCUUAUACACGGAUUCAAGCAUAUACGGUUUGAAAAUGUUCAAAAAAGUAUAAAUUUCAAAUAUCAAACCUUGAUUUUCCAUUUUUUAUAAGGGACACCAUUUUGUUAUGUCAUUAUAUCUAUUGGGACUUGAGCAUACACGGAUUUUGUUAUACACGGGGGAUCUUGGAACCAAACCCCAGCGUAUAACAAGGGUCCACUGUAGUGUCUUCUGGCCCAGUCCAGCCAUCCUACUUUACUAGGCAACAGUUGCUCCAACAGAAGGAAGUCCAUUCUGCUGGCAAUUAGGGCACAUGUGGUUUGUGUUUCUAUCCCCUCCUACCAGUAAGUAAGUCUAUGACAAGGACUUGCCGCAGAGAGCCUGCUUCUAGUUGUCACAACCUUGCUUGUUGAUGGGAGGAGAUGGAAGCAUCAUUCGUCCAAGCCGCAAUUGCCAGGAGAACAGGCUUCCUGCUCUUGAAGCAGCUGCUACCUGGUAAAGGAGGUUUGGGAAGGCAGUUACAAUCAUGCCAAUAGUGGCAUGAUCAUGAAUGUGUAGAGAUCAUGAAUAUGGAGCAGGUAGGAUAUAAACUGUGACUAGCAUUUACCGUUGCAGUUCCGGUGUGCACCCUAGACUUACACAAUCAUAACUGAAACAGUGAAUGCUAGCCACAGUUUAUAUCCUUACCUUUCCCCCAAAACUGGGAUUCUGGGCAGUUUACUAAUGAGACCAGAUCCAAAAGAUUGGUCUGUGGGGAUGAAUUAUCAUGUGGAAAUAUACUUCUGAUUGAUGGUGCUUGCAUGGGCAUAUAGGCUUAGUUGUACAUAGUUGAGUUAUUUGGUUUUGCUAUUGAAUUUAUCCUCUGAUUCACUGUAGUCUGUGCUUGGUCUUCUAAGCUACAGAGACCCUUCCUCCUCACUGUUGAUAGGAAAGGAAGCAGAACUUCUGCAAUGAAAUUUAGCAAUCCUACCCUAUGUUUUUCUUUUAUUAUUAUAAAAAUAUCUAUAUAUUUUUCAAAAUGUUAGUCUGUGUUUCAUUGCAUUGCUGGUGGAUUCUCGUGUGUGUGUGUGUGUGUGUGUGUGUGUGAAUGAACCUUCAAGUUGCCUGUCAGCUUAUGGUGACCCCAUGGAUUUCAUAUGAUUUUCUUAGGCAAGGAAUACUCAGAGGUGCUUUUGGCAGUUACUUCCUCUGAAAUAUAGCCUACAGCACCUGGUAUUUGUUGGCAGUCUUUUAUCCAAGUUCUAACUAGAGCUUGGUUAUCCUGCUUAUUUUGCAAGUUCAGACAGGAUCUGGUGCCUUUAGGGUACCGUAUUUAGGCCUUCAGUCCUUUGUAUUUUUUAAAAAAAAAACAAAGGUUGAACAUCUAUCUACCUAUCAUCCAGUAUAUUACCUGCAUCUACACCAAGGUUUUGGACUGGAGAGCCCUUGGAAACAUUUCCAAGUAUACAGAUCUGUGAUUUUUUGUUUUAUGUUAGAGGGAAACAUGCAUAGAAGUGUAACUGCUAGUUACAAGUGAAUACAGGGAAGGUAUAAUCAAAGCUUUUUAAAACAGAGUUGGAAAAUACUUUUAUUCCAUUUUUAAAAAUAAUUCUUCACAUUUUACUUCAUAUGAAAACCCACUGGAUGACUUUGGG
This is a long non-coding RNA of Sceloporus undulatus (fence lizard), 2602 nucleotides long. RefSeq lists it as uncharacterized. The transcript is spliced from 3 exons. Lineage: Eukaryota; Metazoa; Chordata; Lepidosauria; Squamata; Phrynosomatidae. The record is from RefSeq and is a predicted model, not a curated record.